UACGGAGGGGGCAAGCGUUGUUCGGAAUUACUGGGCGUAAAGGGCGCGUAGGCGGGACGUCAAGUCAGGGGUGAAAGGCCUGGGCUCAACCUAGGAACUGCCUUUGAAACUGACGACCUUGAGUACGGGAGAGGAUGGCGGAAUUCCCAGUGUAGAGGUGAAAUUCGUAGAUAUUGGGAAGAACACCGGUUGCGAAGGCGGCCAUCUGGCCCGUUACUGACGCUGAGGCGCGAAAGCGUGGGGAGCAAACAGG
This 253-nucleotide ribosomal RNA is filed under the name uncultured bacterium. RNAcentral describes it as "partial 16S ribosomal RNA". It matches the Rfam family "Bacterial small subunit ribosomal RNA", at positions 524 to 776 of the family's 1533-position model. The record is from RNAcentral.